UCAUUUCUGGCCCCACUCCAGAGCCCGCAGCCCCAGCUGGAGCCCUCACCAACUCAAACACCCCUACCCCCAAUUUCAUGAUCAUUCAUGGCCCACCAAACAAUUUCCAUAGCCUGAUGUGGCCCUCGGGCUAAAAAGUUUGCCCACCCUGUGCUAAAGGGCUUCAAUAGCUG
Non-coding RNA from Chelonoidis abingdonii (Abingdon island giant tortoise), 173 nucleotides. The record is from RefSeq and is a predicted model, not a curated record. Lineage: Eukaryota; Metazoa; Chordata; Testudines; Testudinidae.